Eurytemora carolleeae is the source of this 652-nucleotide long non-coding RNA. RefSeq lists it as uncharacterized. Lineage: Eukaryota; Metazoa; Arthropoda; Copepoda; Calanoida; Temoridae. The record is from RefSeq and is a predicted model, not a curated record. The transcript has 3 exons.
ACUAAUGUCUCCUGUAGUAGUGUAAUAUUUUCUUUAUAAGAAAUCCUUUGAGAUUAAACAAUCACAUUAUUCAGAAAAGGUUUAGUAAGCAAUUUGUAAAAACAAUAAAGAAAAUGCCAGAAAGUUCUCUGAUAUUAGAAAUAUUUCUUUAUAUAAAAAAUUUAUAUCUCCUCUAUGUCUAGUUGCUACAUAAUCUAAUAGUUUCCUAUUUGAACUCAGAUUCAACACCGCAGUUUUAAAAUUUUUUUAUUUCCAGAUUAUUAAAAGUGCAUUAUUCACCCCUAAAUAUUGCUUAAAAAAGAUCAUUUAUGAUCAAAAUAAACAAGAUUAUAAGAUCAAGAUAAAAAUCAGGAUCAUGACCAACAUCAAGAUCAAGAUGAUAAAUAUAAAGGUUGUCUCAAAUAUUUUAACAUUAUAAUAUUUCUAGGUGCCUAGUACAGAUAAUCCCUGCCAUCAACCUUGCUCCUCAGAGAAAGCUGUGAGCGAGGAUGCAUUUACCUCUGAGUCCGAGAGUUCAACUGCCACGUGUAAAACAGUUCGGAAUAUGGGACCAAAAAACAUGAGCCAAUCAACUUCAGUAAGUUUUGGAUCAGAGCUGUCUCUUGAACAAGAAAGCAAACCAUCAAGCACUCUUAACAAACUUGCAGCUAAC